GGGGUUGUGGCUCAGCGGUAGAGCACUCGCCUAGCACGUGUGAAGCCCUGGCUUCAAUGCCCAGCACCACA
Molecule: transfer RNA, 71 nt
Filed under: Marmota monax (woodchuck)
Lineage: Eukaryota; Metazoa; Chordata; Mammalia; Rodentia; Sciuridae
Description: tRNA.Ala
Rfam family: tRNA
About the family: Transfer RNA (tRNA) molecules are approximately 80 nucleotides in length. Their secondary structure includes four short double-helical elements and three loops (D, anti-codon, and T loops). Further hydrogen bonds mediate the characteristic L-shaped molecular structure. tRNAs have two regions of fundamental functional importance: the anti-codon, which is responsible for specific mRNA codon recognition, and the 3' end, to which the tRNAs corresponding amino acid is attached (by aminoacyl-tRNA synthetases). tRNAs cope with the degeneracy of the genetic code in two manners: having more than one tRNA (with a specific anti-codon) for a particular amino acid; and 'wobble' base-pairing, i.e. permitting non-standard base-pairing at the 3rd anti-codon position.
Source: RNAcentral